AGCGCUUGUAUAUGCUUUUGUUCAGCUGUGGACAAAGGCAGGUUAGACAGGUGAAAAAUAAACCCUCUUUUGCAACCCAGAACUCAUUGUAGAAAUUUUGAUAUAUACAAGAAGAAAUAGA
Small nucleolar RNA from Microtus ochrogaster (prairie vole), 121 nucleotides. The record is from Ensembl. Lineage: Eukaryota; Metazoa; Chordata; Mammalia; Rodentia; Cricetidae.